This 336-nucleotide unclassified non-coding RNA is filed under the name soil metagenome. Its description in RNAcentral is "partial contains 5.8S ribosomal RNA, internal transcribed spacer 2, and large subunit ribosomal RNA". The stretch from base 1 to 120 matches the Rfam family "5.8S ribosomal RNA", at positions 35 to 154 of the family's 154-position model. The record is from RNAcentral.
GAUGAAGAACGCAGCGAAAUGCGAUAAGUAGAGUGAAUUGCAGAAUUCAGUGAAUCAUCGAAUCUUUGAACGCACAUUGCGCCCCUUGGUAUUCCAUGGGGCAUGCCUGUUCGAGCGUCAUUUGUACCUUCAAGCUUUGCUUGGUGUUGGGUGUUUGUCUCGCCUUUGCGUGUAGACUCGCCUUAAAAUAAUUGGCAGCCGGCGUAUUGAUUUCGGAGCGCAGUACAUCUCGCGCUUUGCACUCAUAACGACAGCGUCCAAAAGUACAUUUUACACUCUUGACCUCGGAUCAGGUAGGGAUACCCGCUGAACUUAAGCAUAUCAAUAAGCGGAGGA